Molecule: microRNA precursor, 99 nt
Organism: Danio rerio (zebrafish)
Lineage: Eukaryota; Metazoa; Chordata; Actinopteri; Cypriniformes; Danionidae
Gene: mir206-1
Product: microRNA 206-1
Source: Ensembl
GAAUGUUGCCUCUUGUGAAGACAUGCUUCCUUAUAUGCCCAUAUUAAUGCUCAAGUUAUGGAAUGUAAGGAAGUGUGUGGUUUCAGGGGGAAAUUUGUC